RNAcentral lists this ribosomal RNA (674 nucleotides) under uncultured bacterium. RNAcentral's name for it is "bacterial SSU rRNA". It matches the Rfam family "Bacterial small subunit ribosomal RNA", at positions 636 to 1309 of the family's 1533-position model. The record is from RNAcentral.
UCUGACUNGAGUGCAGAAGGGGAGAGUGGAAUUCCAUGUGUAGCGGUGAAAUGCGUAGAUAUAUGGAGGANCACCAGUGGCGAAAGCGGCUCUCUGGUCUGUCACUGACGCUGUGGCUCGAAAGCGUGGGUAGCGAACAGGAUUAGAUACCCUGGUAGUCCACGCCGUAAACGAUGAGUGCUAGGUGUUAGGCCCUUUCCGGGGCUUAGUGCCGGAGCUAACGCAAUAAGCACUCCGCCUGGGGAGUACGACCGCAAGGUUGAAACUCAAAGGAAUUGACGGGGGCCCGCACAAGCGGUGGAGCAUGUGGUUUAAUUCGAAGCAACGCGAAGAACCUUACCAGGUCUUGACAUCCCGAUGCUAUUCUUAGAGAUAGGAAGUUACUUCGGUACAUCGGAGACAGGUGGUGCAUGGUUGUCGUCAGCUCGUGUCGUGAGAUGUUGGGUUANNNNNNNAAANNNAGCGCAACCCUUAUUGUUAGUUGCCAUCAUUAAGUUGGGCACUCUAGCGAGACUGCCGGUAAUAAACCGGAGGAAGGUGGGGAUGACGUCGAAUCAUCAUGCCCCUUAUGACCUGGGCUACACACGUGCUACAAUGGUCGGUACAACGAGUUGCGAGCCGGUGACGGCAAGCUAAUCUCUGAAAGCCGAUCUCAGUUCGGAUUGGAGGCUGCA